UGUUUGCGAACACGAUGUGAUACACACAAAUGGACUCGUCUUCUCGCUCACUACUUUUCGCCUCCCGUCUCCCCAUCUUUCCGCCGACUGUAAAUACCAUUACCCGAGAGUGAUUCCACACAAAAGGUGGGCUGCGCACAAC
Molecule: non-coding RNA, 142 nt
Organism: Caenorhabditis elegans
Lineage: Eukaryota; Metazoa; Nematoda; Chromadorea; Rhabditida; Rhabditidae
Source: Ensembl